UUUAAUGAGAGUUUGAUCCUGGCUCAGGACGAACGCUGGCGGCGUGCCUAAUACAUGCAAGUGGAACGCACUUAUCUCACUGGAGCUUGCUCCACCGAGAUAAGUGAGUCGCGAACGGGUGAGUAACGCGUAGGUAACCUGCCUCAUAGCGGGGGAUAACUAUUGGAAACGAUAGCUAAUACCGCAUAACAGUAUUUACCGCAUGGUAGAUGCUUGAAAGGAGCAAUUGCUUCACUAUGAGAUGGACCUGCGUUGUAUUAGCUAGUUGGUGAGGUAACGGCUCACCAAGGCAUCGAUACAUAGCCGACCUGAGAGGGUGAUCGGCCACACUGGGACUGAGACACGGCCCAGACUCCUACGGGAGGCAGCAGUAGGGAAUCUUCGGCAAUGGGGGCAACCCUGACCGAGCAACGCCGCGUGAGUGAAGAAGGUUUUCGGAUCGUAAAGCUCUGUUGUAAGAGAAGAACUGUGAGAAGAGUGGAAAGUUUCUCACUUGACGGUAACUUACCAGAAAGGGACGGCUAACUACGUGCCAGCAGCCGCGGUAAUACGUAGGUCCCGAGCGUUGUCCGGAUUUAUUGGGCGUAAAGCGAGCGCAGGCGGUUUGAUAAGUCUGAAGUAAAAGGCUGUGGCUUAACCAUAGUACGCUUUGGAAACUGUCAAACUUGAGUGCAGAAGGGGAGAGUGGAAUUCCAUGUGUAGCGGUGAAAUGCGUAGAUAUAUGGAGGAACACCGGUGGCGAAAGCGGCUCUCUGGUCUGUAACUGACGCUGAGGCUCGAAAGCGUGGGGAGCGAACAGGAUUAGAUACCCUGGUAGUCCACGCCGUAAACGAUGAGUGCUAGGUGUUGGGUCCUUUCCGGGACUCAGUGCCGCAGCUAACGCAUUAAGCACUCCGCCUGGGGAGUACGACCGCAAGGUUGAAACUCAAAGGAAUUGACGGGGGCCCGCACAAGCGGUGGAGCAUGUGGUUUAAUUCGAAGCAACGCGAAGAACCUUACCAGGUCUUGACAUCCCAGUGACCGUCCUAGAGAUAGGAUUUUUCUUCGGAACACUGGUGACAGGUGGUGCAUGGUUGUCGUCAGCUCGUGUCGUGAGAUGUUGGGUUAAGUCCCGCAACGAGCGCAACCCCUAUUGUUAGUUGCCAUCAUUCAGUUGGGCACUCUAGCGAGACUGCCGGUAAUAAACCGGAGGAAGGUGGGGAUGACGUCAAAUCAUCAUGCCCCUUAUGACCUGGGCUACACACGUGCUACAAUGGCUGGUACAACGAGUCGCAAGUCGGUGACGGCAAGCUAAUCUCUUAAAGCCAGUCUCAGUUCGGAUUGUAGGCUGCAACUCGCCUACAUGAAGUCGGAAUCGCUAGUAAUCGCGGAUCAGCACGCCGCGGUGAAUACGUUCCCGGGCCUUGUACACACCGCCCGUCACACCACGAGAGUUUGUAACACCCGAAGUCGGUGAGGUAACCUUUUAGGAGCCAGCCGCCUAAGGUGGGAUAGAUGAUUGGGGUGAAGUCGUAACAAGGUAGCCGUAUCGGAAGGUGCGGCUGGAUCACCUCCUUU
This 1557-nucleotide ribosomal RNA is filed under the name Streptococcus suis. Its description in RNAcentral is "bacterial SSU rRNA". It matches the Rfam family "Bacterial small subunit ribosomal RNA". The record is from RNAcentral. Lineage: Bacteria; Bacillati; Bacillota; Bacilli; Lactobacillales; Streptococcaceae.